Molecule: non-coding RNA, 72 nt
Organism: Euleptes europaea (tarantolino)
Lineage: Eukaryota; Metazoa; Chordata; Lepidosauria; Squamata; Sphaerodactylidae
Source: the annotation of a RefSeq genome assembly
GGGGCUGUGGCUCCGUGGUAGAGCAUCUGCUUUGUAAGCAGAAGAUUCCAGGUUCAAUCCCUGGUACCUCCA